Molecule: long non-coding RNA, 419 nt
Filed under: Anser brachyrhynchus (Pink-footed goose)
Lineage: Eukaryota; Metazoa; Chordata; Aves; Anseriformes; Anatidae
Description: lncRNA (ENSABRG00000021741.1)
Source: RNAcentral
CAGAGACUGAGUAGGAGAGAGCUUGGUGUUGAUUGAAACCAAAGAAGCUAUGCCACUUGGAGAUCUCUGUUGCCCCCUGUUAGAGAAGUGCUGGGCUGUCAAGAGACCACUUCAUGCUUCUCCUGUAACAGUACCUAUUGAAGCUUCUGGAAGUCACCAUUUCUUGGGCAGGGGGAUUUUCUGCUCUGCGCAGUUUCUCUGGUUUGGAAGUGAAGCAGUUUAACAAUGUGUCCUGAAGGAAACAGGUAAUCAAUAAUUUCAUUUUUGGUUACCGUAAAAGGUAAAUGAGACCCAUAUAUUUGUUGGGCAAGUAAGCAAUCCAGGGGUUAGUGAAGCUGAAGCAGGAGAUAACAAAGAACACAAAUGCUCACAAUACAGGAACACAAAGUAGAAAUCCUUGUUGGGGGAAAGAAGUAAGG